RNAcentral lists this ribosomal RNA (434 nucleotides) under uncultured Lachnospiraceae bacterium. RNAcentral's name for it is "partial 16S ribosomal RNA". It matches the Rfam family "Bacterial small subunit ribosomal RNA", at positions 341 to 792 of the family's 1533-position model. The record is from RNAcentral. Lineage: Bacteria; Bacillati; Bacillota; Clostridia; Lachnospirales; Lachnospiraceae.
ACGGGAGGCAGCAGUGGGGGAUAUUGCACAAUGGGGGAAACCCUGAUGCAGCGACGCCGCGUGGGUGAAGAAGUCUUUCGGGAUGUAAAGCCCUUUUAGCAGGGAAGACAGUGACGGUACCUGCAGAAAAAGCCCCGGCUAACUACGUGCCAGCAGCCGCGGUAAUACGUAGGGGGCAAGCGUUAUCCGGAUUUACUGGGUGUAAAGGGAGCGUAGACGGUAGAGCAAGUCUGAAGUGAAAUCAUAGGGCUUAACCCUGUAACUGCUUUGGAAACUGUUAAACUAGAGUACCGGAGGGGCAUGCGGAAUUCCCAGUGUAGCGGUGAAAUGCGUAGAUAUUGGGAAGAACACCGGUGGCGAAGGCGGCAUGCUGGACGGUAACUGACGUUGAGGCUCGAAAGCGUGGGGAGCAAACAGGAUUAGAUACCCUGGUA